Molecule: long non-coding RNA, 980 nt
Filed under: Gallus gallus (chicken)
Lineage: Eukaryota; Metazoa; Chordata; Aves; Galliformes; Phasianidae
Description: long non-coding RNA NONGGAT004012
Source: RNAcentral
CUGAUUCAUACUUAUAUUUUCCUCUAAUAAGUUGAGGAGCAGCCUAGUUGUGAUAUCUCUCAAAACCAAGAAAACCAAAUAAAAAAACUCUUGUUAAAUAGUCUACUCAUCAUGUAUUUACAACUAAAUCUGCAUAUUCAAGAAUUUUCUCCCAGCUCCAAAGUACACAACAUACAUUUCAUACCCUUGAGUGAAUAAUUUUCCACAUUAUGUCAAACCAAAACCACCUGUGUGGAGCUGCAGGACCAUCUCUGGACAUGAUGUUCACAUGGGUGAAACUACCACUGAAGGAGCCACAGCCUCAAGCCCUCACCAGAACGCCAAUUAUUUUCCAUUUACAGGCUUUUGUUUGUAGCACACUAGAUGAAUCUGCCUCACACCUAAAAGCAGGCAAGAUGCAUUUAAAAUACAAUUACCAUCCACACUGUCCAGGUAAUCACACUGUGAUUACUGCAAAGUGAUCCCCCUCACACGCCUUAGGCUCCUCGCCAAGCAGGCAUGCCAAGGGGUCUCCCUGUUCGCACAGCUGCCCUGACGGCAGCGCCACCCAGGCAGCGCUCCCACCCUGGCCCCGUGCCUCACCAGCCCUUCCUCAACCCUUUACCCCGCCGCCAUUUUGUGCAGCGCCGUGCCCACCCAGAGGCGGUGGUCUCGACGGGUGCGCUACCCCAAUCGCCGUGACGGCUGUAAUCGCGAUCCGGGCGCGGCCGCCCCUCCCCACUGACGGCAGCGGCAGUCAGCGGAAGGGCUCACGCGUGGGCCGUGCGGGCCUGCAGUGGCAGCAACGUGCGACGCUGCCGGGGACGGCAGGAGGCACCGUGGGGCGGCGGAGGCGAGGCUGCAGCAGCCCUCGACGACUGCUCGAGGAUAAGAUUGGCGUUUCCUUGACCUGAAGAAGGAUUUUCAUCUCUGUCCUGCAGAAGUGCUGUGCAGCCUGGACCUGCUUCCUUUCAGCAGUUUUUGGGUCCAUCUUCCCUUCA